RNAcentral lists this long non-coding RNA (1206 nucleotides) under Sorghum bicolor (sorghum). Its description in RNAcentral is "long non-coding RNA (SBIC_LNC009861)". The record is from RNAcentral. Lineage: Eukaryota; Viridiplantae; Streptophyta; Magnoliopsida; Poales; Poaceae.
CCUCUUUCGAAUCCGCAGCAGCAGCAUGCGUCUGUGCUUGAGGUGAUGGACCUCAGGACCCAAGUGAAUCAAGGCAUCAAGCAUAUCUUGGCCUUGCCUCUUGGGGUUCGGAGGACAUAUAUACAUCUGUGCUUGCAGAGAGUUAUCCUUCGCCUAGGGUGGUGCUCUCAUCCAUGAUUCUGUGAUUAAUGUACGUGUUACCUCAUGAGAUGUGCUAUUUCCUCCAUGAUUCAGUGAUUAAUGUACCUGUUGCCUCACGAGAUGUGCUCUUUCCCUGGAUCAAAGAUUGAAGAGGUGCUCCCAGGAGCCAGCAUGCAUGAUAAUUGUUUUUAAAUUUUAGUGCUAGAUUACUUGAAUAAUUAUGUUUUUGGUUCUCUCUCUCUCUCUCUCUCUCUCUCUCUCUCUCUCUUCAUGGCGGUGGCAAUUAGAAAUAAUUUUUUCUCAGAUCUUUGGGGCCCAUAGUUGAGUAGAGGAACAAGACUGUCCUAAUAUUUAGAUCUCAACUUGAUUUUUCUACUUUAUUAGUAGAUGUUGUUAUUUUUUUUUUAAGAUUGGUGCAUUGUAUAUGUUGAUUGACUGUCAUGCCUUUGUGUCCCUGCAAUGCAAGUUCUAGUCUUUCAUACUUACAGCAUUCAUAGUACGGCAAUUGGCUGGUAUAGUGGUAUACGCACCCUGAUCCAUAACGACUGCACGAGUAGUGUGAUUAUUGAGAUGCACAAAGUGAAACACCCAAACGACCUAGGUGGAUAACACGUUGAGGUACACUGAUUACAGCAAAUGAGCUCAUAGUCAACAGCCGUUCUGUGUGUUUGAGCUCAAGCGGCUUAGUUAGCUAGUGGCGGUAUGUGGGCUGCUGCUAACCCGCAAAAUGCUUGCGGCUUCUUAGUCUCUAUGUUUGCAGGCUGCUACAACUGCAAGCGCUACCAGCAUCUCUACUCUCUAUAGUGAGAAACUUAGUGAAAAUGUUUUUUUUCUUGUGAACACUUAGUAAAAAUGUUUGUACAUCCUAUUUAGUUCAGAUGUGUUUACAUCAGGGAUGGACUAAAAGCUACGAUAUGACAUGGGCGCACCAACAGAGAUCACUUUAUAUUAUUCCGUGUGAAUGAUGCCGGCUCUAUAAUAUAAAUAAUCCUAGAUGAUAUGCCUAUAGUAAGUAAAGAAAGACCAGCAAAUGUUUGGUGGUAGCUAGCAGAAUAUUGGCAGCAG